UGCAGUCGAGCGAGAAGUCUCUUCGGAGAUAAGUACAGCGGCGGACGGGUGAGUAACGCGUGAGAAUUUUCCCUUUAGUGAAGAAUACCCUUGAGAAAUCAGGGUUAAUACUGCAUACGUCCCUCCGGGGAGAAAGGUGGCCUCUUUGCUGCCGCUAAAGGAUAAGCUUGCGUACUAUUAGCUAGUUGGUGAGGUAAAGGCUCACCAAGGCGAUGAUGGUUAGCCGGCCUGAGAGGGUGUACGGCCACACUGGAACUUAGACACGGUCCAGACUCCUACGGGAGGCAGCAGUGAGGAAUAUUGCGCAAUGGGCGAAAGCCUGACGCAGCGACGCCGCGUGGAGGAUGAAGGUCUUCGGAUUGUAAACUCCUGUUAAGUGGGAAGAAAGACCUAUUUCUAAUACAGAUAGGGGAUGACGGUACCAUUAGAGAAAGCACCGGCUAACUUCGUGCCAGCAGCCGCGGUAAUACGAGGGGUGCAAGCGUUAUUCGGAAUCAUUGGGCGUAAAGGGUGCGUAGACGGCUUAUUAAGUCAACUGUUAAAUUCUCCGGCCUAACUGGAGGUCAGCGGUAGAAACUAAUAGGCUUGAGAUUGGAAGAGAGAAGUGGAAUUCUCGGAGUAGCGGUAAAAUGCGUAGAUCUCGAGAGGAACACCGAUGGCGA
Molecule: ribosomal RNA, 662 nt
Filed under: uncultured bacterium
Lineage: Bacteria
Description: bacterial SSU rRNA
Rfam family: Bacterial small subunit ribosomal RNA
Source: RNAcentral